CGCCAUGCCGCUCCCGGCAGCCAACGGGCGGGAGAGGGCUGCGCGGCAGCGGCGGGGCGAGCAGCGGAGCUUUAAAAUUGCUUGCUUGAUGCCUGUCUCUUGCUGUUCAGUGACUGGGGCCCCUCAUGUGUGCAGUCAGUGCUGGAGCUUCUUUCCUGCAUCAGAACUCCCAGGCCAGCACUGCUAUGCCAUAUUAAAUGACAUCUUCUUGCAUGAAAAGAAAGGUGUAAAAUGGAAUGGAGAUCCUUAUCCGAGUAAGAACAGGUGAACAAAAUAAAACCGUGGUAGUAAAGCAGAGGUUCCCAAACUUACUGUACUGGAGUUUGGUCCCUGCUAUGGAUGAUGGGGGACUGUUGGUACCAGUGGUGUUAAUUUUUCUAUCCUAUGUUCCUCAACCUGUGAAACAUUCCUGAAGGCAGGACCCAGCUCUGUGCUUCCUGCCUUGCUUACUAGUUUAUCACCCCUACUUCACUCCAUCCUGUUCUUGUAAACCACCAUCUACUUGUGUACAGCAAGCCCAGUUCCAAAAUUACUCUCAGAACAGUACCUGCUUACAAAAUGUUUAAUGUUAAAGUGUGAUGAUGUUUACAGGCUUAGCUGGGAGGUAUUGCGAUACACCACGGUUAGAAACAAAGUGUGGCAAAUAGCUGGUCUUACAAAUACUUCUUCAGAGAAGUAAUGCCCUCAAAGGCAGUUGAAUGCAUUUCAUUAAGGAUUACAUGUGAUUAGCGGUCUGUAAGGUCAAGAGUACGACCUGUCAUUAAUGAGUAUUCAUAUAUUAAUACUGCUUUGAGCAGGAAGUUCAACUAGGUGGCAUCUGAGGUCAGUUGCAAUGAUGAUUUUAUGAUUAUCAGACUUGUAUUGUGGAAAUAGAUAUUUCAUUCAUAAAACGACAUAUUAAUUAAAUAAGCUAAGCCCUUGCCAAUUGUUGCAAUUAAUUUUACUUAUUCUGUCAUAUUGUAGCACGGAGAUACAAAUUUGACCCAGAUUUUAAAAUUUAAAACAGUAAAAAAAAAAAAAAAAGCCUUUUUGUGUAUUUCAUUGAAUUCCUUGUACAUAGUUUUAUAUUCUCUGCAUACAAUUGAUUUCGUUAUGGUUCUGGAACUAGUGAGAGUAUAGUACUGGCAAAUGCAAUGCUUUUAUUUGCAGCUGAACUGCAUGUCUCCUCAUACAGUGCUCAAGUUGACUCUGACUAUUUCAGGUACUGCUGGCGCUGAGGCUGUUGUACAAAGCCAUCGGUGCAGGUCAGCAGUGUAAGAAAGAAAGGUUUGAGGCCCCAAAUACUUCCAAAGCGAGAACUCUGCAUGUGAGAAGGAAUUCUUAUAUUUGAAAAAAACAAACAACCAACACGCCGUGAGAUUAUACUGUGUACAUUCUGAAUAUACAUAGAUGUUGCCACAGCUGGUUGAAUUUAAUAAACAGUACGUGCUGAACGAGUUUCAAGAUGAACGCUUUUUCUUUAUUUAAGAAAUUGUGUUUUGACUAACAGUAGUGUGAUCCUUCUCAUUAAGAUGUAUGGGGAACUCAUACACAUUUCCUUCCUGUGUUUGGAUAGAAUGUAUACCUAUUGAUACCUCUUUAACUGUUUCCAUUUAGUAUGGUAAAUUAAUUAUUUUAAUCAUAGAAUCGUUAAGGUUGAAAAAGACCACUAAGAUCAUCCAGUCCAACUGUUGACCUGUCACUGUUGACCAUGCCCACCAAACCACAUCCCUCAGUGCCACAUCCACCCUUUAUCUAAAAAGUUGGUGAUGAGUGAGGAAGUCUCAAAAUGACUCACUGCAAAAAGCCAAAUGGCUUUCUCAUGAAUGUGACUGGAAAUAUUUUUAUGCAACAGUUGGCCCUUCCAAAUGUAUUAGAUAUCCACAUGUGAUUGUUGUCCUCUCUUAUUGCUGUGUAUUUCAGGGAAGUACUUUGUUGCUUGUAUGUUUUUAUUAAAAAAGGUCUAAGGUAUCAGCUGAUGUAAGGAGUGUAUUAAGGACUUGACAGACCUCCUGGACUGUAGCGACUAUAGGGACUAAUUGCUUUCUGCAUUUAAAAGGAUUAAAAGGUGCUAGGAAGGAGCUGAGUGAUUUCUUUACCUUACUCUUUGCCACAAAGAAUGUUGUGAACUGUUCUUUUCAGACAAUGUAGAUGGGACGUUAUCUGAUUAUCAAAUUAGAGAAUCAAAAGAUCGAAUGCUCAUAUGAAUUGGUCACGACCCCUAAGUCGCGAGGACCAGAUGUGAUACCUCCUGUGGUUCUAGACGAUGAAGUGGCUGAGCUGCCCAGAAGAAUGCCUCUGGUUAGGAAGUGAUGCUGUGCCAGAAGACUGGGAGUUGUCAAGUUGUGUAUGUGCUGCACUUCUAAACUGAGCGGAUCUGGAAUUUGGAGACCAAGAAUUCAUAUUUUAAUGUCAAGCUAAUUGAUGUAAAUACUGAAGUACUUGAAUACAGUCAAGCAGUUCUGUGAGCACACAGUCUAAUAGAGCCUAGUUUCCUACAUAGCUGUACCUUAGAGGUAACCAGCUGCAGCUGGGGUGUUUAUAAGCUGUUUCUAUUUGUCUGUAUUAGUGUUCUAAUGAUGUGGGUACAUGCUACAGCCUUUAGUCAAUUUGGGUAAUUUGUGGCUCUAUCUUUUCUAUUCACCUGCCCAGCACCUGGAAUUCUAACAUCCCUGAACACUUACUAAACUGUAAAUGCCUUUUGCAUGCUGUUUCACAUAACUGAAAUUGGGCAGUGGGCUUAGAAGUUAUGAAGGGUCAGGCAGAACCUAGGUAGGCACGUUAAACAGCAUUUGUCUCAUCUGUCUUUACCUGUCUGAACAGAUAGAUAAGCAGCAGGAAGGUCCUCUGUUUAGCACUUCUAACCAAAAUAGGGGUUCAUCAGGUUAUGCAUCAAGAGUCUACAGUAGAAGUGAUUGAUUUUGUCCUUAAAUAAGCAUCCAAAGUAAAAUACUAUAUACAUUUGGUAAAACUAGAGAAAGUUAUGAGGAACUUGAGGACAGUCUUCUAAAGAAAGAUGUAUCAGCAUAAUAAAGGUAGAUGUCAUUCAGUAUUUGCAGAUACAAAAUGACUCUCAGUGGAAGGAAGAACUGAACUACUUGAAGAGAUUUCUAAAUUACGAGUAAAUGUUGCAAAAAUACACAUAAGUGCCUAAGUGAAAAUAUCUUUAAGAAGUGCUCACUGUGAAAGAAGCAGCUUUAAAAUGUAUUUUGAUGAUGCUCCUUAGUAGCUUUAAACGAAAGUUCCUUACCUAGCCAUCUCUGCUAAAAUGAACUGUCCAUCUGGUUUCAUUGCAAAAGCCAUUGAUGCUUACUUUACCAAUCAGUGUGUUUACCUAUACUCUGUGUGUUUUUAAAUGCUGUUGAUAAAUAACAAGUUCCUGACAAAUAAGUAAAGUCUUUGCAGCUUACAUAAUUAAAAUAGUGCUGCUGUAUUUCUUGCUUUCGGUUUAUUUUCUUUGGGUUAUCUCUAAAUGCUCAAUAACGGCAAUACAUUCAUUCUGCCAUUUGGAGGAGCCUGUGCCACAGAAUAAUGAUGUGAAGAAAGCUGAUGUAUUUGCAAGGAAGAGUCCUCAUUUGUGCAAUAGUGUUGAUGCAGCAAAGAGGUGCCUUGCCAAGUUCAGCACAGCCUCCUGUAGUCAUAGAACAUAGAAUCAUAGAAUCACCAAGGUUGGAAAAGACCUACAAGAUCACCAAGUCCAACCGUCCACCUAUUACCAGUGGUACUUGGACGAAACUCUUUUUUUCUUGGAAGGAUAAACAGAAUGCUGCAUCCAAAGAGUAAGAAGGUAAGGCACUUGAGAUUGUUAUUUCAGGAAGCAGUUAAAAGUAAUUUCAAUAACUUGUAAUGAAUGCAAAUAUGCAAAAAUACUUGACUUGUUAUGCAUCGUGAAGUCUUAAAUGGUUUAUAUCAGUUUCUGACUCUUGUUUUGUUUUUUUUUAUCACAUGGGUGAAAUUUCUGAAAGUAUUCAGCUCUGCUUUCUAAAUGUGUUUUCCCUGAAAUCAGUGAGCUGACCUGAGUGGGAAUAAAGGUUGGUUUAUCUUUGGUGAGACAAAGUUAAGUCAUCACUAAGUAAUUUUGAAAUCCCAUCUUGAAAUACUGGGGCUCUGACAUUCAGUGGGAUGAGACUCUCAGAACAGACUGACUGCUGCGGACUCCCAGGCUAUGGUUCAGGUAAAUAACUUCUUUGGAGGAGGAUCUUAAAGGUUUCUUCUUUUUUAAAUUAUGAUCAUUAGGAAGCGAAGGGUGCAACUUAAACUAUAAAUAUUUUCUCCUUACAUUUAAAAUAGAUUUGCCUAUACCUGCGAGAGAGUCUGCUGGUUCUGCUUGGAGCAUUAUACAAUUAUCUGAUGAUUCUGAAGUACUGUUUCUAAAGAGAUCUUCUUUACCACUGUAGAACAUGAAUCUAUUUCCACUCACAGUGAUUUUGUCUUGUUUUCCAACACGUAGCCAAGAGUGAGAUUCUGGUUCUGCUACUGCAAUUUCCAUUUUGCAAAGACAGAGAUGUCUUGGUGAUGCAUGCAUAAUUUAGAAAUAAGAGCUUCUCUAUUGGAAUAAGUGUUAGGGGCUCUGUUCAGAUCAUGGAAUUAACUCGAUUUGUUUCCUGCUCCUGCUGGUCCCCGCUUUCUACAGGGUAGCUCGGUUGUUUGAGUUCCAGCAGCCCAAUGUAGUUUGUAACCAGAGCUUUAAAGUCACCUGGUAUUGCUGCUACUUUACUUUUAUUUCCACUCUUGUAAAGUACAGUAGUGAAGCAGGUGCUGCUGCUGUGCUAGUGGAGGCAGGAACUUGGAGGGAAACAGAGUGCACAGCGGGAAUGUGAACUGUUACGAUCAUCUCCAGUCAUCAGUCCUACCCUAUCAUCCGGGGUCUUCUAUUACUCUUUGUUUUGGGGAGGGAUGGAGAGGGGUGGGGCAGAGGAGAUAUUGAAAAUGGUUCUGCAAUUGGUAGGAAGAAGAAGCAAGAAAUGGUUUUGCUGGAGAAAGCAUUUUUUAAACCUGAUGGUGUUUUUUAAGAGAACUCAUUGAAGCUUUGGGGAUUUGUGUAUGUAAGAUUUAAGAUUUCAGUUACAAACUUACUUCCUUGCUUUCUUCAAAAACAGAAAGAUGCUUUAAAAGAUAAGAAUUUUGAAAUCAAGAGUAAAAAAAGGAGAAUGUUUUAAGAAAAAGAGUUUAUAACAGACCAAAGAAAUACAUGCAUUAUCUUUCAAAAAUAUUUAACUUGAGCGAAGCUCUUGGAUCGCAAGCCUCAAGACCAAAGUAAGAGAAGUUUCUCUGAGAAAGGGGAGAGGAGGCUAAUUGUUUUCCAAAGAGAAAUGGAACAAAGGUAUUCUAUAGUACUUAUACAUCAGUGUGUCGGGCACAGAAAGAGCUAUGCACACAAGUCAUAUACGUAGCUCAGAUACUAUGCUUCUAACUUAGUGUGCUAAUGAUAGAGAAGCCGCUGGCUGUGAGGUCUGAUGUUAAGUCCUGAGAUAAGUUGCCCAAUGACUACAGUAUUGGAUACCACAUGACAGACUGUGAAGGUUUGUGUUCCCAGCAUUAUGACAUUCUUUUAAGAACAGGCCCAGAAAGGUGUCCUGAUCAAUAGCAUCCAGCUUAAAUACUCCCCUCUUGGAUCUCACUGUGUUAACAUUGUCAUGUUGAGCUGGAUGGUUUUCAGAGAAGGAGACUGUUCUGCCUUGUCUGAAGUCUGACUAUGAGAGUUUCAGGGUCUUAAAAAGAGGACAACUCAUUCCUAGUGUGCUUGCCAAGAAGAGGUAAGAAGAGGUUAUGAAGACUGCAUAGUGUCUUGAAAAAUGAGCUUCGUUAUCCUGCUAUGGAAUGAGUAAUUGUAUGUGUUAGGCAGUACAGGUUGCUGAUUGCUUGGUUUAACAAUACCCUAUGGAGUUAGUCUGAAGUACCGUGCUUCUUGCAAAAAUAGUAGAGGUUGUGGUACAGCAGAGGGAAAGAACUGGAGAGGACUAUACUAUGGGUCAGGAAGAGGAUGUUUUCUUGGGUUACAGACUAAGUUAUGGAAUGCCAUCUUCCAAGAUAGAAAUGCUGUAUUUGGCAUCAAAUGAGAACUUCGAUCAGCACUCCAGGGAGAGAUAGUCAGUGAUUUGAAUUUUAUUCUGUGCAGCACUGUAAGUGCAGUAGAGACCUGGCACUGAGAGACUCCAGGUGCCUUGAAAGACCUGCUUCAGCUGAAGACUCUCUUAUAUUCAUAGGCAAUGUAUUUCAGUUUGUAGAUGGAUUAAGUCCCAUGUGCUUUGGUUUGUUAAUGGCCAUGGUUGGAAACAUCUUUUUGCUAUGCUCUACCAGUUAUUUUAAUGACUGUUGCUGGAAUUUAUUUACUCUCUAGUUCGCUGGUGAAGAUAUUCACGAUUCUUUAAGUCAUGUCUGCCUUGACACAUACAUAUUUGUUCAUAUACAUCAAGAGAGGCUGUUCACUCCAGAGUCUGAUCUGUUUCGGCUACUGCUUUCUCUUUCACCCUCUUUUUAGAGAAACUGUCUUUCAUGGCAGUUUGCUGUGGACUAACUUCUUACUGGGCCAUUUAAUUGUGGAGACAUUUGUCAUAUAUAUUAUUACCUUCCAACGUUUUUUCCAACAAAGGCCCAUUAAUAGUAGUAUAUUAUAACCACAGGGGCACAAUAUGGGGCCAGAGGCAAUGUGAACUGAAUUUCCCAGUCAUAUUUUAUUUAGCAGAAUAUCUAUAAUAUUACAUAUAUUAUAGUAUAUAUAUUGAAGAUUAAUCUCACCUAAAUAAUAAUGAAAAAGGAACUCUGAGGAUUGGAAAGAGAAACUUGGCUGAGGGAUUUGGGGGAAAAAAGCUUUGGCAUCUAGAGGAAAAAAAAUAUACAUAUUCCUCCUUUUUUUCCAGAAGUCUAUUGGAAAUUUUUACCCAUAGUUUAAAGAAAUGUUCUGAUGUCAAAAUGAGCAGCGAAGCUGAUUUAAAAGUAGUAACUUACAGUAUCACACCCUUCAAGAUGCUUUAUCUACAGAUGAGGGAGUAAUCCUGAUUCCCGUAUUAAAAGGAGGAGUAUUUCAUGAUGAGGAGAAGACUGCGAAUAUGUGUAACCUUUCCGCUCUAAGACUGGAAGCAGUAAAGAAUGGACAUGAGUCAGAGACAGGAACAGAAUGAGCCAAAAGCCUGAGGGACCUUUGACCAUUCAGAGAACAUUCACCAGGUUUAACUAGCUGUUUUCUGUCCUAUGCUCAUUGACUGUUCCUCUCUCUUUCUGCCUCUUUACUUCUGCUUCAGUCCUGUUUACACUGUGUGCUUUUCUUCCCCCAGUCUGCCCUCCUUAGGUGAUUUUUAAAAUUUUUUGUUGAUUUUUUUUUUUUUGCUUUUUUAUUUGUUUGUUUUAAUCAGGGACUUUUAACUGUGUCCUAUAUUUAUGUGCUGUCUGACAAAACAGAACUUCAGUUUUCAUAAGUCUUCAAGUAUGAUUUAUAUUCCUUUGUCCUGGUUUUUGUAAGGAAUCACUUGUAGGCAAAUAAGUACCCUUAAUGAGAUGAGAUGAUGUGUAUGAGAUUUAAGAGAAUAAGGGAAGCUUUGCUCCUACAGAUUUUCUGUAGGUGAACUAGAGAUUUAAAAGAACAGAUGUUGAAACAUCUAUGCAUUCUUCUAUACAGAAAAAAAAAAUCUGUAACUUCAUUUUAUUGCAGUCCAACAUAUUGUGUAUGAUAAACAUUUCAGAAUGGAUAUUAUGUUGACUAUGUUUGCAUUGUACAUGCAGUUGUUGGCAGUUUUUUGGUUUGUUUUCCACAUUUCACAGCUCUUAAAUUUGCAUUCUAGAAGCCAUUUUGGUAGGUGUAGGUUGCUUGUCUGAAAUCUGUUCUGAAGCUCCAGUGCAAAGGAAGCACAGCACUAAUGAUGGAUGUGAAUGGACACCUUGAGGAUUACUGGAUAUGGCAUCUUCAGAAACAGUGGCAUUUUGCUGGCAGUUCUUAAGAUGGUUCUUAAAGACAUUUUGAGGUCCUAGGUAUGUAUACACUGUGCUAUACAGAAACCGAACUUAUUUUACAUAAACUAGUUCCAGAGCUGAGGUAACUUUUAGCAGCACGCUGCUUUUUAGUGAAAUUAUGGUUUCACAGACCUCAAGAACUCUUAACAUGCCAUUCUGAAAACUAUGAUGGUUCCCGAGUUGAUUCACAAGCAGAUUAGCUGUUAAUUGAAUGGAUAGUGUUAAUGUCUGAGAGUGGUAACAGCGUUUGUUCUGCUGUGUGUCUGUCAGAGCCGUUAGCCCCUAGCUCAGGUGCACUGUGCUAACAAGGGUACCUUGCACGUGCACCUGAGGAGAGGUGCAAAACUGCAGUGUGUAUUGGUGGGGUAGGAGCACCAGCUUGGUUGGUGGAAUCUACUUGCACCGUGCUCAUUUGCACUGCAUAACUUAAAAGAUACCGAAGGCAGCAUUAAUUAAAACAGAGUAUAUUCACUUAGAGAUAGUGAGAGAAGUAUGGAGAGUACUUGGUAGCUGGGCUCCUGAGAGGCAUGUGGACAGAGAUGAUACUCCAGAAGCCAAACAGAAGUGCAUGUGUUAAAACCACUUUAAUCUUUUCACAAAAUGUCUUAAUGUGAGCCAUCUUCUCAUCUGAAAUUAGUUUGAUAUGAGAGUGACUAACAGUAAUAUCUGUCUAUGUAAUAUCCCUUUCUGCAGCACUCAGCCUCUCAUUUUUACUUUCUAGGUGGGUGGAAGAGAUAAUCCGGUCUGCCAAGCGCUAUGCACUCAUUCCAGUGCCAAAAUUCAAAACACAAACCAGCAGCUUUAGUGUAAGGGGCAUACUAGGUUCCUCCAGCUGCACUGAACAAAUGUGUGUGCUAGGUGGAUGAGUAUAAGCUUAGAUAACUGCUUAGAUCUAUUUAUAGGUAGUUUUUUAAACUGCUGUGAUUCUAUUGUGGUAAUUUGGGAUGCAGAAGUUAGGCUGCUCACCAGUUUGCUUUGCCAAGCUGAUCCCCUACUCUGGUUCAUUGCAUGGCCCUACUUCUGCCACAGGACCUUGAUAGCCGUGGGGCCACGGGGAGUUAACACAACAUGAGUGACUGGAAGUUUCUGUUCUGAAGAACUGACUUUAGGCCUGAAUCAUUUGAACGUGAAUAUUCAGCUCGGUGAAAUACAGAGCAUCAACCAGGAGGAGGAGGCUGGUCUGCUAGAGAGGAAGGGAAGAAAGUUACAGCACCCAGUGUGAGGGAACCCUGAUCCAUGACUUGGCUACCAGGAUCGGAUGCAGGCCUCUUGUGAGGAACAGACUUCCUGGGCUACUGGAAAUAAAUGAAUGGAUGUGAAUUUAUGCAUCCCUUAUGCACAUUUAGUUCUUUCCUGUAACUGCUUGUAUGCAGUGUGUGUAUAUACAUCGCUGUGGAUCCUGUACGUGCUGCAUCUCCUGUUUCUCUGGGUAUCAGCAUCCCAUAAAUUCACAUCAUUUUCCUGCCAUGUCCAGGUUGUGUUUGCACAGAAGAAACCUUAAAGAAGUUCAGAAGCGAUUAAAGAAGUUAAACCUUUAAAACCUAAGAAGUUAAAACUUUAAGAAACCUUAAAGAAGUUAGCAGCGAUUGCACAGUAGGCCAAGUAAAUGUUUAUGCUUUUUACAGUUUUUACUUUGCACCAUAUUCUGUGUAAAGACAAGUUUUAAACUUCAAGACAGAAACUAGCCAAAAAAGAAAACAACGUUCUUGGAGACAAAAACAUGAGUGUUCCUUACUGUCAAUGUAUUUUCACAUGAUAUCAGAUAUCAAGACUGCUAUCUUCAUAUGUCCAUCAGCAUUUGUUUGCAAAUGAGUUUUUGAAUUAGGGUAAUUGUUCGGAAGGAUCUUUGACUUCCAUAAAGCACCACCCCUCCUUGACAGACAGUUGAUAUUGCAAUAGAAGAUUUGGAACUUGUUUGCCUUCUCACCAGCAAUGCCUUAAAAGAAGCAUCAGCUACAGAAGGAAAGAAGUCGGGAUGCAGUAAUCAUAACCAAGCAGCAGCACGUGGCUCAGGCACAGGUUCCAGAGCAGAAGUGAGUGGGCUCACUCACUUCUGAGAGAUAAGGUGAAAAAUAAUUAAAAUGUUCCAUCAGAAGACAUGUAAAAGUGUGUGCUGUCUGUGGAGCCUGUUCCUCAACCACGGAUGGCCCACUUGCUUAGGAAGACUGUGAGGAGAGAUCUGAGUUUUCUUGUCUGGAAGAAUUAUCAGAGGAAAAGGGUAAGAAGUCUGGAAAACACUUAGAAGAAGCCCUGGUAUAUAUUUAUUGAACAAUAAAGUUGCCCUGCUACAUGUUCAAA
Molecule: long non-coding RNA, 10224 nt
Organism: Numida meleagris (helmeted guineafowl)
Lineage: Eukaryota; Metazoa; Chordata; Aves; Galliformes; Numididae
Exons: 12
Source: RefSeq, a predicted model, not a curated record